This 112-nucleotide non-coding RNA is filed under the name Nematostella vectensis (starlet sea anemone). RNAcentral describes it as "SAM-I sequence". It matches the Rfam family "SAM riboswitch aptamer (S box leader)". From Rfam's summary of the family: The SAM riboswitch is found upstream of a number of genes which code for proteins involved in methionine or cysteine biosynthesis in Gram-positive bacteria. The SAM riboswitch acts at the level of transcription termination control. Lineage: Eukaryota; Metazoa; Cnidaria; Anthozoa; Actiniaria; Edwardsiidae. The record is from Rfam by way of RNAcentral.
GACUUAUGAAGAAAGGUGGAGGGAUAGGCCCUGUGAAACCUUGGCAACCUAUUUAUUCAAUUAAAAAAGGUGCCAAAUCCCAUUCUGACAAACCGUUAGGAAGAGAUAAGUU